GGAGUUAGCCGGUGCUUCUUCUGUGAGUGAUGUCCUUCCUGCCGGUUAUUGACCCGCAGGCCUUCUUCCUCACUGAAAGUGCUUUACAACCCGAAGGCCUUCUUCACACACGCGGCAUGGCUGGAUCAGGGUUGCCCCCAUUGUCCAAUAUUCCCCACUGCUGCCUCCCGUAGUAGUCUGGGCCGUGUCUCAGUCCCAGUGUGGCUGAUCAUCCUCUCAGACCAGCUACGGAUCGUCGCCUUGGUGAGCCGUUACCUCACCAACCAGCUAAUCCGACAUAGGCUCAUCCGAUAGCGCGAGGCCCGAAGGUCCCCCGCUUUCCCCCGUAGGGCGUAUGCGGUAUUAGCCUGGGUUUCCCCAGGUUAUCCCCCACUACCGGGCAGAUUCCUAUGCAUUACUCACCCGUCCGCCGCUCGCCACCAGGGAGCAAGCUCCCCGUGCUGCCGCUCGACUUGCAUGUGUUAGGCCUGCCGCCAGCGUUCAAUCUGAGCCAUAAUCAAACUCUGA
RNAcentral lists this ribosomal RNA (507 nucleotides) under uncultured bacterium. RNAcentral's name for it is "partial 16S ribosomal RNA". The record is from RNAcentral.